AUUGAACGCUGGCGGCAUGCCUUACACAUGCAUGUCGAGCGGGGGAAGGUAGCUUGCUACCGGACCUAGCGGCGGACGGGUGAGUAAUGCUUAGGAAUCUGCCUAUUAGUGGGGGACAACAUCUCGAAAGGGAUGCUAAUACCGCAUACGUCCUACGGGAGAAAGCAGGGGAUCUUCGGACCUUGCGCUAAUAGAUGAGCCUAAGUCGGAUUAGCUAGUUGGUGGGGUAAAGGCCUACCAAGGCGACGAUCUGUAGCGGGUCUGAGAGGAUGAUGCGCCAAACUGGGACUGAGACACAGCCCAGACUCCUACGGGAGGCAGCAGUGGGGAAUAUUGGACAAUGGGGGGAACCCUGAUCCAGCCAUGCCGCGUGUGUGAAGAAGGCCUUAUGGUUGUAAAGCACUUUAAGCGAGGAGGAGGCUACUUUAGUUAAUACCUAGAGAUAGUGGACGUUACUCGCAGAAUAAGCACCGGCUAACUCUGUGCCAGCCGCCGCAGUAA
Molecule: ribosomal RNA, 501 nt
Filed under: uncultured bacterium
Lineage: Bacteria
Description: partial 16S ribosomal RNA
Rfam family: Bacterial small subunit ribosomal RNA
Source: RNAcentral